GUUUAUUUAUUUUGUGCAGUGUUGAGGUGUUGAAGGGUGCAAUACACAAUGCUGUCAAGGUGCCCACAGACAAACAGGCACAGGUGGAGGGGUGUCUCAACAUGCCAGCCACUUACAACACUGUGGUGGCGCGGACACAGUUAGCACAGCAGUUUUACGAGCACGCUAGUGAGGUCACCAGAACGUGUCGCCAACUUGUUCACGACCAGCAUCUGCAGCAACAAGGCUGGGCAGCAGUGGUGGCCAACUUGGAGGACAUUGUGGCAGCCUUCAGAACAAGACAUGACGCAUUCCAGCAAAAUUUUGUGGAGUAUCUCAGUGGCCCGGAGGAGAAGGUCGCCCUGCUUCAGUCUUUUGAAGAGGACCUUAAGCUACUGGCAAGGAUUCCAGUCUUCCCUGAACUCUUGGGGAAGACACAAGAGGAAGAGGAAGAGGAAGAAGCUGGGAAGAAGAGGAGGACAAGCACAGCACAGAAGAAAGAGGAGGAGGAAGAGAAGGAAGAGGAGGAGAAGGAGGAGGAGGAAGAGGAGGAAGAGCAGGAGGAGGAGAAAAGAGGAGGAGAAGGAGGAAAAAGAGAAAUGAGGCAAGUGUUGCUGCUGGACUGGAUCAGCGCCAAGGACAGCCAAAGUGACGUCAGAUUGCCCAACUCUGCUGCAGGGGACUGGCUCAGUUUUGAAGAAGAGGAGGAGGAAGAGGAAGAGGAAGGAGGAGGAGGAGGAGGAGGAGGAGGGUUAGGUGUGGCCCUCCCUCCCCCUCCCACACCACUGCAGUCCCAGCCUCUGAUUGGCCAGCCCUCAGCCAAUCAGGAGAGAGACUUUAUGGCCUUGCAGGUGGAGGAAGGCCGAAGGGAACUGGAGGAGGAGAGAAAGAGGCACAGGCUGGAGGUUGAAAACAAAAGGUCUAGAUUUAGAAUGAUGACAACGACCACAGCCACCACCAGCACCUCCCCCACUAGUCUGCCUUUCUCUUCAAGUCCCAGCGAGGAGCACCCGCCCUCCUCCCCAGCCUCCUCUCUCAACAGAUGGGAGGGCCUGGACAGACUGAGAGAGGAACUGAUGAAAGAGAGAGAGAUAGAGAUUGAAGAGAGAAUUGCAAGUGUAAGAGAGGAAGAAAGGAGGAAAUUAGAUGACGAAAAACAGAUGGAGUUUGCAGAAGCAGUGAAAGCUUUGGCGCAGGACAAGGAAAGGGUUAUUGAAGAUUUGAAGAUUAGGAUUCAGCUUCUAACAGAUGAGUGUGACAGAAGAAGAGGAGGAGGAGGAGGAAGGGAAAAAUGUUGGAGGACAUAUUGCAAGAAAAUGUUGAAUUGAAGAAUCAGAUCACCUCACUGCAGAAAAAAGUCAGAAAUUUGGAAACUGAACUGGCAAGAGCAAAACGGUUUUCAUUUGUGAUGCAGCAGAGCACCACCACCACCACCGCCACCACCGCCACCGCUGCUGCUGCUGCCCACCGACAUGACGGCCUCCACAGCCUCAACGACUGUUAAUGAAGACACAAGAGAGAAUUUGCCUAACCAAGUGUUGCAGGAAGGUGUCUCCUCACAACACUUGCAUUUCCUACACUCUGAUGCUUACAACUUGCUGGGAUUCACCAAAGAAGCAGUUGGCCAAAAUAAUAAUGUCAGAAGUAAGACAAAGCUUUGAAGAAAGAACAUCUGUCAUAAAGUGUUACUGGAGGCACGAAAAUGUCAAAGAAGUGCAAAGACAAUUCAGAAGACACUUUGACAGGGAUCCACCCAGGUGACGCACCAUUGCUCGCAUCACAGCUAAAUUUGCAUCAACCAGCAGCAGCAGCAGCAACAGAUUGUCAGUAGUAGCAGGAGUAGUGAAUGGUCACUCGUAUGUGGGGACUACUUGGACUAUCAGGCCGCCCUUGUAGUGUGCUGGACUAUUGGUCAACAAGGAGCCCUGAAAGUUACGUGGUACAACUAUUUCGGCGAUAGUAAUGGCUGUAAGUAGUAGUAGUAGUUGUAGUAAUAGUAGUAGUAAUAGUAGUUAUGCGUGUAAUGUCAAUAUGGUCCAUUUUGUAACUGUAAUUGGAAAAAUUCUCGACUUUGUGUUUCUUAAAGGCGUGACGUAAUUAGAGAAAACGUAUGUAUUUUAAGGGACACUAGCCUGUACUUCAUUAUUCCUGUUUAUUGCUAUUAUAGGAGUUUCUUGAUAGUUUUACUUGUAUAUACUAUUUAAAUCUACUAUUCAAUUUAUUAUGUGUAAGUGGGAGAUGUCAGAGAAAAAGCCAUAUUUAUAAUUUUCAUUUGUAAGGUCAAUAAGGUCCAUUUUAUUAAGUAAAUUUAUAAGAUGCUCGACCUUAUGUUUCUUAAAUGAGUGACGUAAUUAGAGAAAACGUGUGUCUUUUAAGGAACACUAACCUAUACUUCGUUAAUGUGGUUAUUGUUGUUAUACGAGUUUUGCGGUGUAUAUACUAUUUAAA
Long non-coding RNA from Scylla paramamosain (green mud crab), 2427 nucleotides. RefSeq lists it as uncharacterized. The record is from RefSeq and is a predicted model, not a curated record. The transcript has 13 exons. Lineage: Eukaryota; Metazoa; Arthropoda; Malacostraca; Decapoda; Portunidae.